GACGAACGCUGGCGGCGUGCUUAACACAUGCAAGUCGAACGGUAAGGCUCCAGCUUGCUGGGGUACACGAGUGGCGAACGGGUGAGUAACACGUGGGUGACCUGCCCUGCACUUCGGGAUAAGCCUGGGAAACUGGGUCUAAUACCGGAUAGGACCGCACCGUGAGGGUGUGGUGGAAAGUUUUUUCGGUGUGGGAUGGGCCCGCGGCCUAUCAGCUUGUUGGUGGGGUAAUGGCCUACCAAGGCGGCGACGGGUAGCCGGCCUGAGAGGGUGGACGGCCACAUUGGGACUGAGACACGGCCCAGACUCCUACGGGAGGCAGCAGUGGGGAAUAUUGCACAAUGGGCGGAAGCCUGAUGCAGCGACGCCGCGUGGGGGAUGACGGCCUUCGGGUUGUAAACUCCUUUCACCAUCGACGAAGGGUUUCUGACGGUAGAUGGAGAAAAAGCACCGGCUAACUACGUGCCAGCAGCCGCGGUAAUACGUAAGGUGCGAGCGUUGUCCGGAAUUACUGGGCGUAAAGAGCUCGUAGGUGGUUUGUCGCGUCGUCUGUGAAAUUCCGGGGCUUAACUCCGGGCGUGCAGGCGAUACGGGCAUAACUUGAGUACUGUAGGGGAGACUGGAAUUCCUGGUGUAGCGGUGAAAUGCGCAGAUAUCAGGAGGAACACCGGUGGCGAAGGCGGGUCUCUGGGCAGUAACUGACGCUGAGGAGCGAAAGCAUGGGGAGCGAACAGGAUUAGAUACCCUGGUAGUCCAUGCCGUAAACGGUGGGCGCUAGGUGUGGGUUUCCUUCCACGGGAUCCGUGCCGUAGCUAACGCAUUAAGCGCCCCGCCUGGGGAGUACGGCCGCAAGGCUAAAACUCAAAGGAAUUGACGGGGGCCCGCACAAGCGGCGGAGCAUGUGGAUUAAUUCGAUGCAACGCGAAGAACCUUACCUGGGCUUGACAUAUACAGGAUCGCGCCAGAGAUGGUGUUUCCCUUGUGGCUUGUAUACAGGUGGUGCAUGGUUGUCGUCAGCUCGUGUCGUGAGAUGUUGGGUUAAGUCCCGCAACGAGCGCAACCCUUGUCUUAUGUUGCCAGCACGUUGUGGUGGGGACUCGUAAGAAACUGCCGGGGUUAACUCGGAGGAAGGUGGGGAUGACGUCAAAUCAUCAUGCCCCUUAUGUCCAGGGCUUCACACAUGCUACAAUGGUCGGUACAGUGGGUUGCCAGUCCGUGAGGGCGAGCUAAUCCCGCAAAGCCGGUCUCAGUUCGGAUCGGGGUCUGCAACUCGACCCCGUGAAGUCGGAGUCGCUAGUAAUCGCAGAUCAGCAACGCUGCGGUGAAUACGUUCCCGGGCCU
RNAcentral lists this ribosomal RNA (1341 nucleotides) under uncultured bacterium. Its description in RNAcentral is "partial 16S ribosomal RNA". It matches the Rfam family "Bacterial small subunit ribosomal RNA", at positions 28 to 1381 of the family's 1533-position model. The record is from RNAcentral.